RNAcentral lists this long non-coding RNA (323 nucleotides) under Hordeum vulgare. RNAcentral describes it as "long non-coding RNA (HVUL_LNC021676)". Lineage: Eukaryota; Viridiplantae; Streptophyta; Magnoliopsida; Poales; Poaceae. The record is from RNAcentral.
AAAGAAAACAAUUCAGACCCAACCGGAGCCUCCGUGUCGAACCCCACCUGCCAUCGGCUCAAACGCGCCGCCUUCGCGUCCAAUGCGAACUCAGAUACCGCUCAAACAGCACAGCACGAUAGGCGACGCCGGACGCAACUUCCUCUUCUUUUCUUCGCGUCGCCCUCCAACCCCACCCACCGCCGCCGCCACCACAAACCCGCACGAUCCCUCUCCGCGUCCUUGGUCGCCGACUUCCGAUAAGCUUCCUCGCCACGCACGCGCGAGCUAGCGCAGAGCUCCAGCAUAUUAUCCCCAAUUUCGGAAGAGGUCCGAUCCCCNNN